AGUGAACGCUGGCGGCAGGCCUAACACAUGCAAGUCGAGCGGCAGCGGGUCCCCGCGAGGGGAUGCCGGCGAGCGGCGGACGGGUGAGGAACACAUCGGAAUCUGCCUGGUUGUGGGGGAUAACGUAGGGAACUUACGCUAAUACCGCAUGCGACCCUGAGUCGACGGACUGGGGGUGAAAGUGAGGGACCUUCGGGCCUCACGCGACCAGAUGAGCCGAUGUCGGANAGCUAGUUGGCGGGGUAACGGCCCGCCAAGGCGACGAUCCGUAGCUGGUCUGAGAGGAUGAUCAGCCACACUGGGACUGAGACACGGCCCAGACUCCUACGGGAGGCAGCAGUGGGAAUCUUGGACAAUGGGCGCAAGCCUGAU
RNAcentral lists this ribosomal RNA (372 nucleotides) under uncultured bacterium. RNAcentral's name for it is "bacterial SSU rRNA". It matches the Rfam family "Bacterial small subunit ribosomal RNA", at positions 30 to 387 of the family's 1533-position model. The record is from RNAcentral.